Molecule: ribosomal RNA, 618 nt
Filed under: uncultured bacterium
Lineage: Bacteria
Description: bacterial SSU rRNA
Rfam family: Bacterial small subunit ribosomal RNA (bases 1-517)
Source: RNAcentral
CCUACGGGAGGCAGCAGUGGGGAAUAUUGGACAAUGGGCGAAAGCCUGAUCCAGCAAUGCCGCGUGAGUGAAGAAGGCCUUCGGGUUGUAAAGCUCUUUUACCCGGGAAGAUAAUGACUGUACCGGGAGAAUAAGCCCCGGCUAACUCCGUGCCAGCAGCCGCGGUAAUACGGAGGGGGCUAGCGUUGUUCGGAAUUACUGGGCGUAAAGCGUACGUAGGCGGCUUUGUAAGUCAGAGGUGAAAGCCCACGACUCAAUCGUGGAACUGCCUUUGAGACUGCUUCGCUUGAAGAUGGGAGAGGUUAGUGGAAUUCCGAGUGUAGAGGUGAAAUUCGUAGAUAUUCGGAAGAACACCAGUGGCGAAGGCGGCUAACUGGACCAUUCUUGACGCUGAGGUACGAAAGCGUGGGGAGCAAACAGGAUUAGAUACCCUGGUAGUCCACGCCGUAAACGAUGAUAACUAGCUGUCGGGGCUCUUGGAGCUUCGGUGGCGCAGCUACGCAUUAAGUUAUCCGUCCGUCGGGUAGGUACGGUCCGGCCGAACGGUUAAACGUACGUAAGUAGAAGUUAGUACGGCGUGAGAACGUGUCCGACGGACGACGACGAGGGGAGGUUAGG